Molecule: long non-coding RNA, 1455 nt
Organism: Canis lupus familiaris (dog)
Lineage: Eukaryota; Metazoa; Chordata; Mammalia; Carnivora; Canidae
Exons: 2
Source: RefSeq, a predicted model, not a curated record
CCUGCUCCUCUCCCCAGCGCUAGCCCCGCGCCCCUGGCCCCUCGGGGCCACACGCUGCUCCCCGUGAGCCUCGCGCCUCGGGACAGGGGUCCUUGCGCCACCACGCCUCGCCCGCCGGGACCCGCAUGGGCGGAGAAGGACCGAGAAGUUACCCCGCCCUGGGAUUUCAGGUCUGAGACCCGCAGGGAGAGCAACUGGACAAGGUCGUGCCUUCACGCCCACCCUGGAUGGGGAAACUGAGUCCCGGAAGACUGUGGCAAGACCUGCAGAGACAGCGCCAGACUCCCUCCAUUCAACUCCUGACCCCGUCUAUGCCUUGGGGGGUGACACGGUGACCCUGGGGUCUUUGUGCCCGGUGGUCUGUAAGCAGUCCCGAAAGGCGGAUGAGAAAGCCCCUCUGGUUGAUGAACUCCCUGUGCUUUGGAAAACAUGUAAAAGUUGCCCAGAAGGGGAGACUUGUCCCUGGGGGACCAUCCGAGGGCCCCUUCUGCACAUACUGGCUUAGGGUUCCUCCCCCACCAAGGCUCGAGGCCCGGCCCUGCUCAGAGAGACUACAGAGCUGGGGCUGACCUGCUCUCAUUAGGGGUGUUAAAGCAUGACCGUUGCUGGGAACCAGAGAUUCUGAGACAGGAGAACAGUGUGGUGGACAUAGUUGUUGUCUGGGGGUUUUUUUGUUUUUUUUUUUAAGUUCUCAGUGUUUUUACUAUGGUUAUUGUUAUUAUUAUUUUACUUUUUAUUAUGGAUUUGCAAACAUAUACAGAGGUAGAAAGAAUGGUAUGAAAGACCCCGGAAACCCAUCACCCAGCCUCAGUUAGGAACUCGUGGCCAAUCUUGUUUCCCUCCCCCAUCCCCACCCCCCAACCCGUUAUUCUGAGGUGAACACGGGUAUCUUAUCAUUUCACCCCCUCAGGUAUUUGUCACUUCCAGCUGGGGUUCGAAGCUAUGCCAAGGCUGGCUCCGAAUCCAGGGCUCAUCCUGCUGCCCUGCCUCAGCUGAGGCUCAGUGAGAUUGAAGGACGUUGCUCAAGUUCAGGCAAAGCUAGGAUCUGAACCCAUUUCUACGAAGGCCAGAACCCGAGUACUUCACCCUACCCUGUGCUGGGGGUUCCCCAAAGUCCCAGGGAUACUGAGCCCUUUCUGCCCUGUGUGUGACCCCUGGGGUUUUGCAAAAAAGACUCUCGAGCCUCUGGCAAGGCAGCCACACCUCACGGGGAAACCCACAGCACACGGGACGUUCUGAGUAAAGACAACGGAAAACCACAUGGUGCAGUGGAAAGAGCACAGAUUUGGGGUCAGGCUGAUCUAAAUCGAACUUGGAGCUCCACCCUUGGCUCAAGUCGAUAGCUCAGUUUCUCUGGGCCUCGGUUUCCUCAUCUGUAAAGUAGGGGCAUUCAUACUAACCCCCGGUGGAGUUGUUGUGAGGCUCAAAUAAAAUGAUGUGAAAAUGCCUAACCUA